GCUUGUAGAUGCAAGCCGUUCUUUCCAGAAACUGAAAGCCAACGCAUUAUCGUCGAAAUCUCAAACAUCCCUAAACCCAUCAUUACAACCAUGAAACUCUAUCACCUCUACCAUUUUUUUGUCCACACUACCAUUUUUCCACGUCUCGUCAUCUCCACCACAUCUCAUCAAAAUCACAUACAAACACCACAAUAAGAACACCAUCAUUGCAACCAUCGUCUUCUCCAUACAACCAUCAUCACCAUCUUCACAGUUGCAAGAAACCAACCCUUACAUACUCCGGCUUCCUUAUUUAAACCCUACAUCGACUAUCUUCUCUCAACUCACAUCAGUGAGCAUCAAACUGCUGCUUCACAUCCAACGACCACCCUCUCUCGGCCACGGUCGACGACUACAAUCUCACCGGAUUAUGCUUUUUUUGUUCUUUUUCAGGGUGGGGCACUUACAAGUUUCCGGAAAUGGUGGUUGUUGAUAAUUGUCAGAGAUGUGGCCCGUGGUGGUGCCGGAAUAGGUGAUGGUCAUGGUGCAUGGUUGUGGUGCAGGAACAGGUGAAUGGUAGUUAUUGGUGACCGAUUGUGGUUGUGGUGCAGGUGAGAGUAUGAGUGAGUCCACAUGUCUAAUUGAUUUUGCUUAAUUAAUAAGUGAUAAUUAAAAAACUAAAGAUUAAAAUAUAAAUGGUAAAAUAGUCUUUCUAUGUUUA
Molecule: long non-coding RNA, 700 nt
Organism: Lactuca sativa (garden lettuce)
Lineage: Eukaryota; Viridiplantae; Streptophyta; Magnoliopsida; Asterales; Asteraceae
Source: RefSeq, a predicted model, not a curated record